This 73-nucleotide transfer RNA is filed under the name Stegodyphus mimosarum. It matches the Rfam family "tRNA". Rfam says of the family: Transfer RNA (tRNA) molecules are approximately 80 nucleotides in length. Their secondary structure includes four short double-helical elements and three loops (D, anti-codon, and T loops). The record is from Rfam by way of RNAcentral. Lineage: Eukaryota; Metazoa; Arthropoda; Arachnida; Araneae; Eresidae.
GCCUUCGUGGUGUAGUGGUCAGCACUUUCGACGCGUAAACGACAGGUCCGUGGUUCGAUUCCUGGCGAAGCCA